UACGUAGGGACCAAGCGUUGUUCGGAUUUACUGGGCGUAAAGGGCGCGUAGGCGGCGUGACAAGUCACUUGUGAAAUCUCCGGGCUUAACCCGGAACGGCCAAGUGAUACUGUCGUGCUAGAGUGCAGAAGGGGCAAUCGGAAUUCUUGGUGUAGCGGUGAAAUGCGUAGAUAUCAAGAGGAACACCGAUGGCGAAGGCAGAUCUCUGGGCCGUAACUGACGCUGAGGAGCGAAAGCGUGGGGAGCGAACAGG
This 253-nucleotide ribosomal RNA is filed under the name uncultured bacterium. Its description in RNAcentral is "partial 16S ribosomal RNA". It matches the Rfam family "Bacterial small subunit ribosomal RNA", at positions 524 to 776 of the family's 1533-position model. The record is from RNAcentral.